GAAUUACUACCUCCGUCCAAUAAAGGGUGUCUUAAAUUUGAUCAAAUUUGAAUGCAUUUAUACACUAGGUCAUUUCUAAAUACAUCUAAAUUUUAACAAACUUGAGACAUUUUUUGUUAGACGGAGAGAGUACUUG
Molecule: non-coding RNA, 136 nt
Organism: Brachypodium distachyon (stiff brome)
Lineage: Eukaryota; Viridiplantae; Streptophyta; Magnoliopsida; Poales; Poaceae
Source: Rfam